CAUUCACUUGCAGUUCUAUGGCCUUACACAAGGGGGCGACUUAGUAUUGCAAAUCAAUCUGGUUGGCCUUUUGUGCAAAGACACAUUUCAAGUUUAGUUAUUAAUCUCUCUCUCCCUCUGUGUGUCUGUCUGUCUCUCUCCCUCUGUGUGUCUGUCUCUCUCCCUCUGUGUGUCUCUCUCUCCCUCUGUGUGUCUCUCUCUCCCUCUGUGUGUCUGUCUCUCUCCCUCUGUGUGUCUGUCUCUCUCCCUCUGUGUGUCUGUCUCUCUCCCUCUGUGUGUCUGUCUCUCUCCCUCUGUGUGUCUGUCUGUCUGUCUCUCUCCCUCUGUGUGUCUGUCUGUCUGUCUCUCUCCCUCUGUGUGUCUGUCUCUCUCCCUCUGUGUGUCUGUCUCUCUCUCCCUCUGUGUGUCUCUCUCUCUCCCUCUGUGUGUCUCUCUCUCUCCCUCUGUGUGUCUGUCUCUCCCUCUCCCUCUGUGUGUCUGUCUCUCUCUCUCCCUCUGUGUGUCUGUCUCUCUCUCCCUCUGUGUGUCUGUCUCUCUCUCCCUCUGUGUGUCUGUCUCUCUCUCCCUCUGUGUGUCUGUCUCUCUCUCCCUCUGUGUGUCUGUCUCUCUCUCCCUCUGUGUGUCUGUCUCUCUCUCCCUCUGUGUGUCUGUCUCUCUCCCUCUGUGUGUCUGUCUCUCUCCCUCUGUGUGUCUGUCUCUCUCCCUCUGUGUGUCUGUCUCUCUCCCUCUGUGUGUCUGUCUCUCUCCCUCUGUGUGUCUGUCUCUCUCCCUCUGUGUGUCUGUCUGUCUGUCUCUCUCCCUCUGUGUGUCUGUCUCUCUCUCCCUCUGUGUGUCUGUCUCUCUCUCCCUCUGUGUGUCUGUCUCUCUCUCCCUCUGUGUGUGUGUCUCUCUCUCUCCCUCUGUGUGUGUGUCUCUCUCUCUCCCUCUGUGUGUCUGUCUCUCUCUCUCCCUCUGUGUGUCUGUCUCUCUCUCUCCCUCUGUGUGUCUGUCUGUCUCUCUCUCCCUCUGUGUGUCUGUCUGUCUCUCUCCCUCUGUGUGUCUGUCUGUCUCUCUCCCUCUGUGUGUCUGUCUGUCUCUCUCCCUCUGUGUGUCUGUCUGUCUCUCUCCCUCUGUGUGUCUCUGUCUCUCUCUCCCUCUGUGUGUCUCUGUCUCUCUCUCCCUCUGUGUGUGUGUGUGUCUCUGUCUCUCUCUCCCUCUGUGUGUGUGUGUGUGUGUGUGUCUGGCUCUCUCUCCCUCUGUGUGUGUGUGUGUCUGUCUCUCUCUCCCUCUGUGUGUGUGUCUGUCUCUCUCUCCCUCUGUGUGUGUGUGUCUGUCUCUCUCUCCCUCUGUGUGUGUGUGUGUGUGUGUGUCUGUCUCCCUCUGUGUGUCUGGGAUGGUAGACCUAAGGUUUGGUUUUACAGUUUGAGUUUCCAGUUUUAUUAG
Molecule: long non-coding RNA, 1422 nt
Filed under: Oncorhynchus mykiss (rainbow trout)
Lineage: Eukaryota; Metazoa; Chordata; Actinopteri; Salmoniformes; Salmonidae
Description: lncRNA (ENSOMYG00000062101.1)
Source: RNAcentral